Molecule: ribosomal RNA, 1546 nt
Filed under: Neisseria gonorrhoeae
Lineage: Bacteria; Pseudomonadati; Pseudomonadota; Betaproteobacteria; Neisseriales; Neisseriaceae
Description: bacterial SSU rRNA
Rfam family: Bacterial small subunit ribosomal RNA
Source: RNAcentral
AUUGAACAUAAGAGUUUGAUCCUGGCUCAGAUUGAACGCUGGCGGCAUGCUUUACACAUGCAAGUCGGACGGCAGCACAGGGAAGCUUGCUUCUCGGGUGGCGAGUGGCGAACGGGUGAGUAACAUAUCGGAACGUACCGGGUAGCGGGGGAUAACUGAUCGAAAGAUCAGCUAAUACCGCAUACGUCUUGAGAGGGAAAGCAGGGGACCUUCGGGCCUUGCGCUAUCCGAGCGGCCGAUAUCUGAUUAGCUGGUUGGCGGGGUAAAGGCCCACCAAGGCGACGAUCAGUAGCGGGUCUGAGAGGAUGAUCCGCCACACUGGGACUGAGACACGGCCCAGACUCCUACGGGAGGCAGCAGUGGGGAAUUUUGGACAAUGGGCGCAAGCCUGAUCCAGCCAUGCCGCGUGUCUGAAGAAGGCCUUCGGGUUGUAAAGGACUUUUGUCAGGGAAGAAAAGGCCGUUGCCAAUAUCGGCGGCCGAUGACGGUACCUGAAGAAUAAGCACCGGCUAACUACGUGCCAGCAGCCGCGGUAAUACGUAGGGUGCGAGCGUUAAUCGGAAUUACUGGGCGUAAAGCGGGCGCAGACGGUUACUUAAGCAGGAUGUGAAAUCCCCGGGCUCAACCCGGGAACUGCGUUCUGAACUGGGUGACUCGAGUGUGUCAGAGGGAGGUGGAAUUCCACGUGUAGCAGUGAAAUGCGUAGAGAUGUGGAGGAAUACCGAUGGCGAAGGCAGCCUCCUGGGAUAACACUGACGUUCAUGUCCGAAAGCGUGGGUAGCAAACAGGAUUAGAUACCCUGGUAGUCCACGCCCUAAACGAUGUCAAUUAGCUGUUGGGCAACUUGAUUGCUUGGUAGCGUAGCUAACGCGUGAAAUUGACCGCCUGGGGAGUACGGUCGCAAGAUUAAAACUCAAAGGAAUUGACGGGGACCCGCACAAGCGGUGGAUGAUGUGGAUUAAUUCGAUGCAACGCGAAGAACCUUACCUGGUUUUGACAUGUGCGGAAUCCUCCGGAGACGGAGGAGUGCCUUCGGGAGCCGUAACACAGGUGCUGCAUGGCUGUCGUCAGCUCGUGUCGUGAGAUGUUGGGUUAAGUCCCGCAACGAGCGCAACCCUUGUCAUUAGUUGCCAUCAUUCGGUUGGGCACUCUAAUGAGACUGCCGGUGACAAGCCGGAGGAAGGUGGGGAUGACGUCAAGUCCUCAUGGCCCUUAUGACCAGGGCUUCACACGUCAUACAAUGGUCGGUACAGAGGGUAGCCAAGCCGCGAGGCGGAGCCAAUCUCACAAAACCGAUCGUAGUCCGGAUUGCACUCUGCAACUCGAGUGCAUGAAGUCGGAAUCGCUAGUAAUCGCAGGUCAGCAUACUGCGGUGAAUACGUUCCCGGGUCUUGUACACACCGCCCGUCACACCAUGGGAGUGGGGGAUACCAGAAGUAGGUAGGGUAACCGCAAGGAGCCCGCUUACCACGGUAUGCUUCAUGACUGGGGUGAAGUCGUAACAAGGUAGCCGUAGGGGAACCUGCGGCUGGAUCACCUCCUUUCU